Molecule: ribosomal RNA, 440 nt
Filed under: uncultured bacterium
Lineage: Bacteria
Description: partial 16S ribosomal RNA
Rfam family: Bacterial small subunit ribosomal RNA
Source: RNAcentral
CCUACGGGAGGCAGCAGUAGGGAAUAUUGCUCAAUGGGGGAAACCCUGAAGCAGCAACGCCGCGUGGAGGAUGAAGGUUUUCGGAUUGUAAACUCCUUUUGUUAGAGAAGAUAAUGACGGUAUCUAACGAAUAAGCACCGGCUAACUCCGUGCCAGCAGCCGCGGUAAUACGGAGGGUGCAAGCGUUACUCGGAAUCACUGGGCGGAAAGAGCGCGGAGGCGGGAUAGCAAGUCAGAUGUGAAAUCCUAUGGCUUAACCAUAGAACUGCAUUUGAAAAUGUUAUUCUAGAGUAUGGGAGAGGUAGGUGGAAUUCUUGGUGUAGGGGUAAAAUCCGUAGAGAUCAAGAGGAAUACUCAUUGCGAAGGCGACCUGCUAGAACAUAACUGACGCUGAUGCGCGAAAGCGUGGGGAGCAAACAGGAUUAGAUACCCUAGUAGUC